Nematostella vectensis (starlet sea anemone) is the source of this 3162-nucleotide RNA transcript. It is a transcript of the gene named G patch domain-containing protein 11, with no coding region annotated. The record is from RefSeq and is a predicted model, not a curated record. NCBI's taxonomy places the organism in Eukaryota, Metazoa, Cnidaria, Anthozoa, Actiniaria, Edwardsiidae. The transcript has 10 exons.
CAUGAGGCGAUGAACAACCCUCAGGCGCAGGCCUGGCUCACCAAUUCCAAGAUGGCGGACGGCGGAGACGAAGAAGAAGAUUACAUGUCUGAUAAAUUCCUUUUUGGAGCCGCUGACACAAGACCUGGACUCCCGAUUCUCAAGCGCGUAGCUAAACAAUACAACAAAGAUGAGAGACACAAAGUUUUGAACGAAAAGAACAAAAUAAAACCUAUAAAAGAGCGCGAAAAAGAACAGAGAGAACAGGGAAUGGCUAGUGCCAUUGAUAGCAGUAACGUAGGAUUCGCGCUACUACAGAAGAUGGGCUACAAGAAGGGUGCAGGACUUGGAAAAGAAGGUACCGGCCGUGCAGAUCCUAUUCCUAUCGCCAUCAAGACUGAUCGUGGGGGACUGGGCAGAGAAACUCAGAUUAAAAGGCAGCAGCAAAAAAAGCAAACACUAAGGGAAGAAACAGCCAAGAAAAGAACAAAGCUUGAGCAGCAUCAGAGAGAACACUUCAGACAACAAAUAAGCAACAAAUUUGCAGAAAAGAAAAUUAAAAGCGACUUGUACAAGAGUCAAAAAGCAUGUGAGCAGUUAGACAAAGCAAAGGGUCAACUUUGUAAACUGGAGUGGUUCUGGCCGCAAGAGACAUCAGAGGAGGAGGAGGAAGAGAAUGAGGAAGAAAAAGAUGAUGAAGAAGAUGGCAGUGAGCUACAGCCUCACGAAAUGCUGCGUGAGCUGACAGCUUAUCUGAGGACCCAGCACUUGUACUGCAUCUGGUGUGGAACCACCUUUAAUGACCCAGAAGAUCUUGCUGAUAACUGUCCGGGUGACACAGCCGCUGAACAUGACUGAUCAUGCUUGGGAGCCCUGUGGAAUUUGUGCCGCUGACCAUGGCUGAUUCAGCAACAUGAUCGGGAACCUUGUGGUCUUUGCACCACUGACCAUGACAAAGCAUGCCCGGGAGAAACUGCUUGGGGACCCCGUGGUCUGCGUGCGCUCCCUAAAGUUCCACCAGACACCUCUGACCAGAUACCAGACAUCUAACCAGAAAAAAAAAACACAUCUAGAGCACUAAAGGAGGAAAGGACGACAGGACAACUCAAGGUAAGACUUCUGAAUUUAUUUACCCCAAAAAUAACGAGCACAGAACUUUGACAGGCUGUGACAGAACUUGCCACAAGUUGCCAUUUGCUGCAAAAGACAAGUUUUCUCUGCCUUGUCCCGUUCUUACCGGGUUCCCUGUGUUCACCCUAGUCCCAGACGUUCUUUCUCAUCGGGUUCCCUGUGGUUGGCAAGAAUUGUGACGUCGCGGGAACCAUUUCAUCUCAGACGCUGCCUCACGGUUCAUCUCCGAGUACAACCCUCUGACAAGACUAAAGUUUUUCUUUUUAUCUUAGAGAGAUCCUUGACGCUCCAGAUCUUAUGUGUUUAUGAGAUUGAAUAUGAGGCUAUAGGGGACAUUGAUAAAGGUGAAGACAAAAAUAGACUCUCCGCCUCUUGUUGUCAUUUGUAAAUUAUUUUCCCGCUUUUGGGUAAAGUUUACAUACAUAAAUCAUAAAUCAAGUCGCAUCAGAAAAUUUAACUUGUUUAUCAUCUAUUUAUUUGAUAAAGGAGUUCAUUUCCUGCAAAUUCCAAUAUAUUGUCGCGUCACAUUUCGGAAAUUCCCUAACUUUUAUUUAUGACAAAUGUGUCUUUCAAGUGUGAAGUAGAAUGAUCCAGAAUUUGUAACUGCAAAGCCGACCCUUGAAACACAGGUUGCUAACCAAUCUUUAAUAGGCAAUUGUUCACGCUAGACGAUGUUUAUUAAUUCAAGCCUAUCGUGUGUUUCAAACUUAUGCACCCCGCUGAAAGCCUGACACUCGUAUUGAAGUGCAUGGCAACGAUCAGAGGAGGAAGAAGCAAGAACUUUCUAAACACAGAUAAGAAGGACUUUUUUACCCGCUUAAAGAAUCACCAAGCUAAAGGUUUUUAGACACGACAUUUUCUUGGAAUUCAAGAUGAAGAACAAUCUUUUCGCUGUUUUACUUGCGCUGCUCAUGACAUUUCAAGGAGCGGCAGCGGCUGGGACAGACUACUCGACGCUCGAGGCGCUGUGCAUCGCCAUCAUCGUACUCUUUUUAAUCUGGAUCAUCAUCAUGAUCAUCUUGAUCUUCUGCUGCAAGGCGUACGUCAACAAGCUGUCGCAAGCGCCAUGUGCUGACGAGGACCAAAAACCGGGUCGCUCGGACGGGAACAGUAACCAGGCCUACCAAGGCAUGGUGGUACGUUCGUACAGUGAUCCAAAGGUUCACCCAGAACCGCAGUACCGACGUCCCGAGGUCCGUGAACAGUGCACCCAGACGGACCCCAGCGAGUUAGAGCCCCUAGGUCCUGAUCAGUCGGUGCAGGUCCCGGAUGACCCUGAAGAGCAGUUCAGGCCACCCCAUAGAUUAGAGCCGCUGGAGUAAUAUGUUAGCUUAGUUUUGCAUUUUGUUUGAUGGGACAGGCGCGUACCUAGGGUACCCCCCCCCCCCCCCCUCAGCAAAUCCUGGGUUCGCGCCUGGAAGGUAGUUUUAAGAUGGCAUUUGAGAUAAACGAUUCCUUCACAUUGAAGGAAUCAUUUAUCACUCGUGUUCGUACGAAAGGGGCAAAGCCUCAUUGAUUGUAACGAUAGAAGAAACGUCACGAAAAGAAACUCCGCAGUCAACGGCAUUUUUUUGUAUAAUUUUGUUAUUGUAAUUUCCUUUUUAUGCAUGGCAUGCAUUGCUAGUUUGUAACUAGUAAUAACCAUCGUCAAAUACUGUGAAUACUGUAUAUAAAACUUCCUUGUACUUUGUUUCCAUGUUAUAUAAUUUGUAUAGUGGGUUUAAAACCUUAGACCUGAUACGUCAGACUAAAAUUGGUAAAAGGCCAUUGUUGUGGCUUUCCACCAGGAGUGGGCGCUGGAUGGGAGGGAGGGGGGAUGGAAUAAAAAUGUCCCGACUGACCAGAGACCUCUAGCCUUUAAAGGAACCGCAUUAGUCUAGUGGUUGUGUGACUCAAGGCUUGACUCUAUGAAGAUUUUGGUGAGGCUCACUGUGACUGUUUUUAACACAUUCAUUGCUCAACCUUUGUCAUAAAAUUACAUUCGUUGUAAAAAUGUGUGGAAUAAUAAAAGAAAACCUCUGAAUAAUAUAAUUAAAGAUCAGACCUCUCUCA